UCAAAACCCAAACGAAACGCCGUAGCACAGAUAAGUGCAGCUGUUUUGAUUCAUUGCCAAGGUUUUGAUUGAUUGAAUGGCAUAUUAGCCACACGUUACGAGGUGUUUCAAGUGUUUUCUCGUGAAAUCUUGAACACGUUGGAUUCUCAAAGUUAACAACGAACUAUCAAAAACAAACAAACAAAAACAAUAUAACCAGGCCGUGAGGGUAUAGCGCUAAUGGAGAGUAUAGUUCUUCUGGGAUCGGUGUGAGAUGAGGGCUGCUAUUCUGCUGUUUGUCGCUUUGCUGAUUGCAUAUCAGGCUGAAGCACAGUCCACGAAAUGUCAACGGAAGUGGCUAUCAACUUACAUAUAUUGCACAUACCAAUGCAGCACGCCAGUGGGUCGCAGAGAAAACGAAGACGACGGAUACUAUUGCGUG
Molecule: long non-coding RNA, 421 nt
Organism: Ornithodoros turicata
Lineage: Eukaryota; Metazoa; Arthropoda; Arachnida; Ixodida; Argasidae
Exons: 3
Source: RefSeq, a predicted model, not a curated record